RNAcentral lists this ribosomal RNA (247 nucleotides) under uncultured archaeon. RNAcentral's name for it is "partial 16S ribosomal RNA". It matches the Rfam family "Archaeal small subunit ribosomal RNA", at positions 691 to 937 of the family's 1478-position model. The record is from RNAcentral.
CCGACGGUGAGGGAUGAAAGCUGGGGGCACGAACCGGAUUAGAUACCCGGGUAGUCCCAGCCGUAAACGAUGCUCGCUAGGUGUCUGGGAUGGUGCGACCGUUUCAGGUGCCGCAGGGAGGCCGUGAAGCGAGCCACCUGGGAAGUACGGCCGCAAGGCUGAAACUUAAAGGAAUUGGCGGGGGAGCACUACAACGGGUGGAGCCUGCGGUUUAAUUGGACUCAACGCCGGAAAACUCACCUGGGGC